Pan troglodytes (chimpanzee) is the source of this 531-nucleotide long non-coding RNA. RefSeq lists it as uncharacterized. The transcript is spliced from 4 exons. The record is from RefSeq and is a predicted model, not a curated record. NCBI's taxonomy places the organism in Eukaryota, Metazoa, Chordata, Mammalia, Primates, Hominidae.
ACAGAAAUUGAAUUACAGUUGGCAUAAGACAAACAGGGUUAAUAGGUAUCUUCUCCAGGAUUAAUAUAAGUACAUUUGGAGAGAGCAAUAUUCUUUCCACCAAUAUUGCUAAGCUUUGAGGAGGGGUCUGAAGGAGCCUGAUUGUUGAAGCAAAACUUCCCGUUUACCUACUGAUUGGAGGGUUUUUGAGCAUCUGGAAGCCAGAACAAAUAUGCUUCUUUCCAUCCUAGACCAUCCAUCCUCCCGCUGACCUUCCAGAUGACUGCAGGUGCAUGAGCACGCCCAGCAGGGAUCAGCUGAGCAAAAUCACCUCACCGAAUCAUAGUUUUUUAAUACAAAUGGGACCAGCUAAAAUGAACUUCAAGGAGAUUUUGAAAAGGAAAGGAGUGGGGAAAGACAUCACAAAGAAACAAAAUAAGCAGUCUUAAGUCUGCAAGAGAUGUACUGCGGAAGGUUUGUUCUGUUAUUUUUUUUCCUCUGCGUUUAUUGAAUAAAACAAAUCAAUAAAAAUGGUGUAUAUUCCAGGUGUAC